RNAcentral lists this unclassified non-coding RNA (213 nucleotides) under plant metagenome. RNAcentral's name for it is "partial contains small subunit ribosomal RNA, internal transcribed spacer 1, and 5.8S ribosomal RNA". The record is from RNAcentral.
UUUCCGUAGGUGAACCUGCGGAAGGAUCAUUCAUAACAAGUGUUUUAUGGCACUUUUUUAAAUCCAUAUCCACCUUGUGUGCAAUGUCAGGGUUGUUUUUUCUCACGAGAGGAUCAGCCCCAAACAUCAACUAUAUCUCAACUCUUUGUCUGAAGAAUAUUAUGAAUAAAACAAUUCAAAAUACAACUUUCAACAACGGAUCUCUUGGCUCUC